UUUAAUUUUGAAAAAUCAGAAUUUAUAGUGCACUAAGGCAACUGCUUAGUGGCUCAAGUCUUGUGGUCUUGGGAGCAUAUUCGUCUGCAGACUGAAAGGUAAACUUGAGAAACUGGCUACAGAGCAAGAGGUGGUGGGUGACACAACGGCAGUUAGGAGCAUUUCAAACUGGGAUUAGGUCCUCAAAGCCUGACACACUAGGAAAGAGUUUCCCCUCACCCUGCAACUCGGUCGCCUCUUGUCGCCCAACCCGCAGGGGGCGUCCUACGCACUGUCAACUCGGGAGUGCCCGCAUGCAAGCUGUUUUUUCCAGUAUGAGCCAGAUGGGAGACCACAGUGUGGAGUCACGCACCUUACCCUGAGCACUCUGGGCCUGACUACUGAAAGAAAAGAAGAGCAUCCGGAUUACUCCCGCAGUGACCAUAGACAGGAGGCGGGGCGGGGCGAGCGGAGGUGAGCCUCGCGUGGCCCCGCCCCUCGAGGGGACUCACCUGGGGCGGGCGGGGCGUGGGUGGGCGGGGCGAGCGGAGGUGAGCGACGCGCGGACCUGCCGCUCAGGCAGUUACGGAGGUUGGUGGCUUUUGGCCACUCACGCUACGCCAGGGGCUGAGGAGUGCCAGCUGAGGUUGCACAGAGAAUCCUCCUGGCUGAUGGAUAGACAGAGAUGUUCAUUACUCAACUCCUCCACAAAGAAGAGCUAAAGAUGCACAGCUGUGUUCAGAGGGAAAAAACCAAAGUGAAGCUGUUUCUUCUCCUGUGAACUCGUCAGACUGC
RNAcentral lists this long non-coding RNA (774 nucleotides) under Mus spicilegus (steppe mouse). RNAcentral describes it as "lncRNA (ENSMSIG00000008876.1)". Lineage: Eukaryota; Metazoa; Chordata; Mammalia; Rodentia; Muridae. The record is from RNAcentral.